This 397-nucleotide long non-coding RNA is filed under the name Ananas comosus (pineapple). RNAcentral's name for it is "long non-coding RNA (ACOM_LNC041193)". Lineage: Eukaryota; Viridiplantae; Streptophyta; Magnoliopsida; Poales; Bromeliaceae. The record is from RNAcentral.
AUCAAAGUUAGCGUCGGAAUUCCGAAAAUUCUAUUUACAUUUUGUUUCGCGCCCACUUUGCGCCGAAACACUUACUUAUCAUCGGAAUUCAUUCUCACGCGUCCAAAGUCACUCGGGGAUGACGUCCAACCAGCUCAAUUCUCACUUUGAUCCAAUAGAUCAAAGUUUACAUCGCAGCUCCAGGAUGCCAUAUGUUACACAGCACGUCCACCGAGAGCAGCCUCUAGCUCUGCUCCUUCGCCUCCAUCCCGAGGGAGUUAUGAUACUUCAUCUAGUUCGGGGGGAGCGACGACGUUGGAAUCAGUUAAAGAGGAUUUGCGAAAAUUAAAGAAGAAGGUGAACAAUAUUGGGAGAAAAGUUGAGUCAAGCAUCAAGAAGUUUGAAUUAAGUAUCAGAA